This 497-nucleotide ribosomal RNA is filed under the name uncultured bacterium. RNAcentral describes it as "partial 16S ribosomal RNA". It matches the Rfam family "Bacterial small subunit ribosomal RNA", at positions 28 to 507 of the family's 1533-position model. The record is from RNAcentral.
GACGAACGCUGGCGGCGUGCCUAAUACAUGCAAGUUGAGCGCUGAAGGUUGGUACUUGUACCAACUGGAUGAGCAGCGAACGGGUGAGUAACGCAUGGGGAAUCUGCCUUUGAGCGGGGGACAACAUUUGGAAACGAAUGCUAAUACCGCAUAAAAACUUUAAACACAAGUUUUAAGUUUGAAAGAUGCAAUUACAUCACUCAAAGAUGAUCCCGCGUUGUAUUAGCUAGUUGGUGAGGUAAAGGCUCACCAAGGCGAUGAUACAUAGCCGACCUGAGAGGGUGAUCGGCCACAUUGGGACUGAGACACGGCCCAAACUCCUACGGGAGGCAGCAGUAGGGAAUCUUCGGCAAUGGACGAAAGUCUGACCGAGCAACGCCGCGUGAGUGAAGAAGGGUUUCGGAUCGUAAAACUCUGUUGGUAGAGAAGAACGUUGGUGAGAGUGGAAAGCUCAUCAAGUGACGGUAACUACCCAGAAAGGGACGGCUAACUACGUG